GGACAGCUUGAGAUUAGGGAAAAAGGUUUGUGAGGAUCCAUACAGUGUAGAAGUUGAUUUGGAAGGAAAAAGUGAUCCAGACAAGUCUUUAGUAAAAGAAUCAGCUGAUGGAAACACUUCUAGUAGUGAUGAACCAUCGCCUCAGAAAAAGAUGAGGUCUUCUCUUGAGGGAUUAAAAAAUUCCAGUGUAGUUGACAGAGCAGAUAAAGAAAAUAAUGCUGUAAACAUUGCACCGAAUAGUUCCAGAAGUUCUGACACCUUACGCCUCGCGUUAAGCCCUGCAAUUACGAGUCCAAAGGCUCCCAGUACACCAAGCGAAAAUUCAUCCUUGGCAUACUGCCCACCUGAUCUAAACAGGAAUAUCACUGACAUAUUUGGAAAACUAAUCAACAUAUAUAGGGCAUUGGGUGAUGAUCGAAGGUCAUUUAGCUAUUACAAGGCUAUUCAAGUUAUUGAGAAGUUGCUAUUCAAAAUUGAAAGUGCAGAACAGGUCAAAGAUCUACCUGGUAUUGGGAAGUCAAUGCAGGAUCAUAUACAGGAGAUAGUGACUACUGGCAAAUUGUCCAAGUUGGAGCAUUUUGAAACAGAUGAAAAGGUACGGACAAUUAGUCUAUUUGGUGAAGUUUGGGGUAUAGGUCCAGCCACUGCCUUUAAAUUGUAUGAGAAAGGAUAUCGCACACUAGAUGAUCUUGAGAAUGAAGAUUCAUUAACGCACGCACAGAAGUUAGGAUUGAAAUAUUUUGAUGAUAUUAAGACGAGGGUUCCACGCAAUGAGGUUCAAGAAAUGGAACAACUCAUGCAGAAAACUGGGGAAGAGAUAUUGCCUGGGGUGGUUAUCAUAUGUGGAGGAUCUUAUAGACGAGGAAAAGCAUCUUGUGGGGAUUUGGAUGUGGUAAUUACUCACCCUGAUGGGAAAAGUCAUAAGGGUUUUUU
This 933-nucleotide unclassified non-coding RNA is filed under the name Hevea brasiliensis (rubber tree). The record is from RNAcentral. Lineage: Eukaryota; Viridiplantae; Streptophyta; Magnoliopsida; Malpighiales; Euphorbiaceae.